GAAAUGCGAAAAGUAAUGUGAAUUGCAGAAUUCAGUGAAUCAUCGAAUCCUUGAACGCACCUUGCGCUCCUUGGUAUUCCUUGGAGCAUGCCUGUUUGAGUAUCAUGAAAUCUUCAAAGUAAAUCUUUUGUUAACUCAAUUGGUUUCUACUUUGGUAUUGGAGGUCUUUGCAGCUUCACACCUGCUCCUCUUUGUUCAUUAGCUGGAUCUCAGUGUUAUGCUUGGUUCCACUCGGCGUGAUAAGUUAUCUAUCGCUGAGGACACUGUAAAAGGUGGCCAAGGUAAAUGCAGAUGAACCGCUUCUAAUAGUCCAUUGACUUGGACAAUACUUUUAUGAUCUGAUCUCAAAUCAGGUAGGACUACCCGCUGAACUUAAGC
This 378-nucleotide unclassified non-coding RNA is filed under the name plant metagenome. Its description in RNAcentral is "partial contains 5.8S ribosomal RNA, internal transcribed spacer 2, and large subunit ribosomal RNA". The stretch from base 1 to 105 matches the Rfam family "5.8S ribosomal RNA", at positions 50 to 154 of the family's 154-position model. The record is from RNAcentral.